Molecule: microRNA precursor, 73 nt
Filed under: Myotis davidii
Lineage: Eukaryota; Metazoa; Chordata; Mammalia; Chiroptera; Vespertilionidae
Description: mir-9193 microRNA precursor family
Rfam family: mir-9193 microRNA precursor family
Source: Rfam by way of RNAcentral
CGUGGGGGGUGGUGUCCUUCAGCCCGGAUUGCAAGAGGGCACAGGCCAGCCUGAAGGACCCCACUGGUGCAGG